CUUUUGGUAGAUAUUUAAAAACAUCAUCCCUCAAUCAAAUUUUAUUCAAAGUGAAUUAUGAUCACCUUCAAGUAGAAUUAUAUUCUUUAAAUAAAUCAUUAUAAAAGAUGUUUCCCCAUGCUUUUAAAUAAAUAUAACAACUGAAAUUGAGAAUGGAAAUGGGGAAUGUGUCAAAGAGACAACAACCCUACCAUAGAGCAGACAACAGCAGAAGGUCACCAACAGGUCUUCAAUGCAGCGAGAAAUUCCCGCACCCAGAGGCGUCCUUCAGCUGGCCCCUCAACAAAUAUAUAUACUAGUUCAAUGAUAAUGAACACCAUAUUAAACUCCAAAUUGUACACAAGAAACUAAAAUUGAAAAUAAUACAAGACUUAACAAAGGCCAGAGCUCCCGGGUGUUUGAACUUACUUUUAUAUCUACAUACUGUUGAUUUGUUCCGAAUUUAUGUAUUUGAUUGAAAAAAUUAGUUCUGUAAAUAAUGGUUUUACAAUAGAAUUAUCUCCCUCUGACGUCAGUAGAGAUUCAUAGCAGGGAAAAAAAAUGGCCACUUCUAACUUCUUUUCCCCCAUGGAUUAUUAAGCAGUUGUGGCUUGUGAUUUUUUAAUUGCAUAUAAUAACAUGAAUUAUAUGCCACACAAAAUUAAAUUUCUAUUCUUUAACUUUUAUGAAGGA
This 672-nucleotide long non-coding RNA is filed under the name Mytilus galloprovincialis (Mediterranean mussel). Lineage: Eukaryota; Metazoa; Mollusca; Bivalvia; Mytilida; Mytilidae. The record is from RNAcentral.